This 120-nucleotide ribosomal RNA is filed under the name [Clostridium] innocuum. RNAcentral's name for it is "23S rRNA. Bacterial LSU". It matches the Rfam family "Bacterial large subunit ribosomal RNA", at positions 2807 to 2925 of the family's 2925-position model. Lineage: Bacteria; Bacillati; Bacillota; Clostridia; Eubacteriales; Clostridiaceae. The record is from RNAcentral.
AGAUCUCCCAUUCGUAUAACGAAGUAAGACCCCUUGAAGACGACGAGGUGGAUAGGUCAGAGAUGGAAGUGUAGCGAUACAUGGAGUUGACUGAUACUAAUAGGUCGAGGACUUAAUCAC